CAGCGCGAACGUUGGCGGCGUGCCUAACACAUGCAAGUCGUGGGGCAGCAGGCUACUACCUUCGGGUAGUAGUGCUGGCGACCGGCAAACGGGUGAGUAACGCGUAGCUUACCUACCCAUAGGUUGGGGAUAACAUCCCGAAAGGGGUGCUAAUACCCAAUAAUGAGGAGACUCCAAAGCCCUUAUGGGCGCCUAUGGAUGGGGCUGCGUCCCAUCAGCUAGUUGGUGAGGUAAUGGCUCACCAAGGCUACGACGGGUAACCGGUCUGAGAGGAUGACCGGUCACAGCGGGACUGAGACACGGCCCGCACCCCUACGGGGGGCAGCAGUGGGGAAUAUUGGGCAAUGGCCGAAAGGCUGACCCAGCGACGCCGCGUGGUGGAUGAAGCCCUUCGGGGUGUAAACACCUUUUCUGGGGGAAGAUAAUGACGGUACCCCAGGAAUAAGGGACGGCUAACUACGUGCCAGCAGCCGCGGUAA
Molecule: ribosomal RNA, 479 nt
Filed under: uncultured bacterium
Lineage: Bacteria
Description: bacterial SSU rRNA
Rfam family: Bacterial small subunit ribosomal RNA
Source: RNAcentral